Molecule: ribosomal RNA, 460 nt
Filed under: uncultured bacterium
Lineage: Bacteria
Description: partial 16S ribosomal RNA
Rfam family: Bacterial small subunit ribosomal RNA
Source: RNAcentral
CCUACGGGCGGCAGCAGUGAGGAAUAUUGGUCAAUGGGCGUAAGCCUGAACCAGCCAAGUCGCGUGAAGGAUGAAGGUUCUAUGGAUCGUAAACCUCUUUUAUAAGGGAAUAAAGUGCGGGACGUGUCCCGUUUUGUAUGUACCUUAUGAAUAAGGAUCGGCUAACUCCGUGCCAGCAGCCGCGGUAAUACGGAGGAUCCGAGCGUUAUCCGGAUUUAUUGGGUUUAAAGGGAGCGUAGGCGGCCUGUUAAGUCAGUGGUGAAAGUCUGUGGCUCAACCGUAGAAUUGCCGUUGAUACUGGGAGGCUUGAGUACAUUUGAGGUAGGCGGAAUUCGUGGUGUAGCGGUGAAAUGCUUAGAUAUCACGCAGAACUCCGAUUGCGAAGGCAGCCUGCCAAGCCAUGACUGACGUUGAUGCACGAAAGCGUGGGGAUCAAACAGGAUUAGAUACCCUAGUAGUC